This is a long non-coding RNA of Sphaeramia orbicularis (orbiculate cardinalfish), 1371 nucleotides long. RefSeq lists it as uncharacterized. NCBI's taxonomy places the organism in Eukaryota, Metazoa, Chordata, Actinopteri, Kurtiformes, Apogonidae. The transcript has 2 exons. The record is from RefSeq and is a predicted model, not a curated record.
CGUCCGUUUCAUAACAAUAAUACCCAUAUCAAAACCAAAAAUAAACUCUGUCCGUUUCAUAACAAUAAUACACAUAUCAAAACAAAAAUAAACUCUGUCCAUUGCUUGACAAUAAUACUCAUAUCAAAACCAAAAAUAAACUCUGUCCGUUUCAUAACAAUAAUACCCAUAUCAAAACCAAAAAUAAACACUGUCCGUUUUAUGACAAUAAUACACAUAUCAAAACAAAAAAAAAACAAUCUGUUUCAUACAAUAAUACUCAUAUCAAAACCAAAAAUAAACUCUGUUUCAUAACAAUAAUUUACAUAUCAAAAGUAAACUCUGUCCAUUUCAUAACAAUAAUACACACAUAAGUGAUGUAAAUGUGACACUAUUUGUUCAUGAAAACAUGCAUCGAAGCUACUGAACACAGAGCAGUUUGCAUAAAUCAGAUACAUCGGUUGAAAACUUGAAGACGUCAGACACAUGAUCGUACAAUUCAUGGCUGCAGUGAAAUAUGAUGAUGUUCAAACACAAUCACAGAGCAGCACGAGUCCAGAUACUGAAGUGGUUUUUUCCUGGUGUUUAUUUGUGCAGCUCACGUGUGCAGCUUUCCAUGUGUUUAAUGGCAUUACUUUGAGAGGCACAUAUUUGAUGGAGCUGGAACAAUUGGAUUGCAUUGUGCACGUCACUUAAGCGCUGAUCUCUUUUUAUCUCCGAACCCAGGAAAGCAUGUGUCAACCUAAAUGCAACGCGCUGGCAUGUUGUGUUUUCUUGCUAACUGUCCAAGAUGGUGCAACUUCUCCAGAACCAGUAUUACAGACACGGGUGAAGAUUUCAUUAGAAGACUGUAGGCGGGGACACAUUUACUGUAAUGUACACUUCAUUUUCAUGCAUCUGUUUAUGUCUUUUCUGUAUUGGUUUAAGGUGGAUUUGAUUUAUUUACAUAAAGCAGUUGCUCUCAAAUUCUUUCAGCUUCACAAAAAAUGGAAAAAAAAACAUAAAUUUCAUCAUAAAAGUGAGUGUAUUGUUGCAUUUCUCACCACUUUAUUAUUAACUCGUGCUAAACAAUGAUGCAUCUUGAAUUAAUUAUGUGACUCAUCAACCCGUGGAUCAGUGUUUCUCAUAUUAAGCAUCAGAACCAAAACUGGGCCAUGGAUGUACUUUAUUGGGGUCACCAUCUGGCAAAUUAAAUACAUUUUUUGGUGCACCUGUUGAGCGACGAUUCUGUUUCCAUUGCCGUUGUUCAUAUUUCUGUUUUAUCGAUAAACCAACUUUCCUGUUUCCACAUGACUUUUUUUAUGCACUCAUUGAAAUCCAAAUAAAAACACAGGGAUGUAAAUGCAUGUCGGUCAGUAUUAUGUUGAUAAAACUUACCAAACUUUGCAAAAA